Molecule: ribosomal RNA, 397 nt
Filed under: uncultured bacterium
Lineage: Bacteria
Description: partial 16S ribosomal RNA
Rfam family: Bacterial small subunit ribosomal RNA
Source: RNAcentral
AUACGUAGGGGGCGAGCGUUGUCCGGAAUGAUUGGGCGUAAAGGGCGCGUAGGCGGCCCGGUAAGUCUGGAGUGAAAGUCCUGCUUUUAAGGUGGGAAUUGCUUUGGAUACUGUCGGGCUUGAGUGCAGGAGAGGUAAGUGGAAUUCCCAGUGUAGCGGUGAAAUGCGUAGAGAUUGGGAGGAACACCAGUGGCGAAGGCGACUUCCUGGACUGUAGAUGACGCUGAGGCGCGAAAGUGUGGGGAGCAAACAGGAUUAGAUACCCUGGUAGUCCACACUGUAAACGAUGAAUGCUAGGUGUAGGGGGUAUCGACCCCUUCUGUGCCGCAGUUAACACAAUAAGCAUUCCGCCUGGGGAGUACGGCCGCAAGGUUGAAACUCAAAUGAAUUGACGGGG